RNAcentral lists this ribosomal RNA (253 nucleotides) under uncultured bacterium. RNAcentral describes it as "partial 16S ribosomal RNA". It matches the Rfam family "Bacterial small subunit ribosomal RNA", at positions 524 to 776 of the family's 1533-position model. The record is from RNAcentral.
UACGUAGGGGGCAAGCGUUGUCCGGAUUCAUUGGGCGUAAAGAGCGUGUAGGCGGCCAGGUAGGUCGGUUGUGAAAACUGGAGGCUCAACCUUCAGACGUCGACCGAAACCAUCUGGCUAGAGUCCGGGAGAGGAGAGUGGAAUUCCUGGUGUAGCGGUGAAAUGCGCAGAUAUCAGGAGGAACACCUGUGGUGUAGACAGCUUGCUGGACCAUCACUGACGCUGAGGCACGAAAGCGUGGGUAGCAAACAGG